RNAcentral lists this ribosomal RNA (500 nucleotides) under uncultured bacterium. RNAcentral describes it as "partial 16S ribosomal RNA". It matches the Rfam family "Bacterial small subunit ribosomal RNA", at positions 30 to 523 of the family's 1533-position model. The record is from RNAcentral.
AUUGAACGCUGGCGGCAUGCCUUACACAUGCAAGUCGAACGGCAGCACGGGAGCAAUCCUGGUGGCGAGUGGCGAACGGGUGAGUAAUAUAUCGGAACGUGCCCAGUCGUGGGGGAUAACGCAGCGAAAGCUGUGCUAAUACCGCAUACGAUCUCUGGAUGAAAGCGGGGGACCGUAAGGCAUCGCGCGAUUGGAGCGGCGGGUAUCAGAUUAGCUAGUUGGUGGGGUAAAGGCCCACCAAGGCGACGAUCUGUAGCUGGUCUGAGAGGACGACCAGCCACACUGGAACUGAGACACGGUCCAGACUCCUACGGGAGGCAGCAGUGGGGAAUUUUGGACAAUGGGCGCAAGCCUGAUCCAGCAAUGCCGCGUGCAGGAUGAAGGCCUUCGGGUUGUAAACUGCUUUUGUACGGAACGAAACGGCGAGCUCUAAUAAAGUUUGCUAAUGACGGUACCGUAAGAAUAAGCACCGGCUAACUACGUGCCAGCCGCCGCCGUAA